GGUGAACGCUGGCGGUAGGCCUAACACAUGCAAGUCGAACGGCAGCACAGUAAGAGCUUGCUCUUACGGGUGGCGAGUGGCGGACGGGUGAGGAAUACAUCGGAAUCUACUUUUUCGUGGGGGAUAACGUAGGGAAACUUACGCUAAUACCGCAUACGACCUACGGGUGAAAGCAGGGGAUCUUCGGACCUUGCGCGAUUGAAUGAGCCGAUGUCGGAUUAGCUAGUUGGCGGGGUAAAGGCCCACCAAGGCGACGAUCCGUAGCUGGUCUGAGAGGAUGAUCAGCCACACUGGAACUGAGACACGGUCCAGACUCCUACGGGAGGCAGCAGUGGGGAAUAUUGGACAAUGGGCGCAAGCCUGAUCCAGCCAUACCGCGUGGGUGAAGAAGGCCUUCGGGUUGUAAAGCCCUUUUGUUGGGAAAGAAAAGCAGCAGGUUAAUACCCUGCUGUUCUGACGGUACCCAAAGAAUAAGCACCGGCUAACUUCGUG
This 492-nucleotide ribosomal RNA is filed under the name uncultured bacterium. Its description in RNAcentral is "partial 16S ribosomal RNA". It matches the Rfam family "Bacterial small subunit ribosomal RNA", at positions 28 to 507 of the family's 1533-position model. The record is from RNAcentral.